This 497-nucleotide ribosomal RNA is filed under the name uncultured bacterium. Its description in RNAcentral is "partial 16S ribosomal RNA". It matches the Rfam family "Bacterial small subunit ribosomal RNA", at positions 28 to 507 of the family's 1533-position model. The record is from RNAcentral.
GAUGAACGCUGGCGGCGUGCCUAAUACAUGCAAGUCGAGCGAACAGACGAGGAGCUUGCUCCUCUGACGUUAGCGGCGGACGGGUGAGUAACACGUGGAUAACCUACCUAUAAGACUGGGAUAACUUCGGGAAACCGGAGCUAAUACCGGAUAAUAUAUUGAACCGCAUGGUUCAAUAGUGAAAGACGGUUUUGCUGUCACUUAUAGAUGGAUCCGCGCCGCAUUAGCUAGUUGGUAAGGUAACGGCUUACCAAGGCAACGAUGCGUAGCCGACCUGAGAGGGUGAUCGGCAACACUGGAGCUGAGACACGGUCCAGACUCCUACGGGAGGCAGCAGUAGGGAAUCUUACGCAAUGGGCGAAAGCCUGACGGAUCAACGCCGCGUGAGUGAUGAAGGUCUUCGGAUCGUAAAACUCUGUUAUUAGGGAAGAACAAAUGUGUAAGUAACUAUGCACGUCUUGACGGUACCUAAUCAGAAAGCCACGGCUAACUACGUG